Molecule: long non-coding RNA, 494 nt
Organism: Chenopodium quinoa (quinoa)
Lineage: Eukaryota; Viridiplantae; Streptophyta; Magnoliopsida; Caryophyllales; Amaranthaceae
Exons: 3
Source: RefSeq, a predicted model, not a curated record
AGUCUUCAAAAUCUAUCACUCGAAAUGGAGGGGAAAAUGGUUUUCUACAAAUCCAAGAAGAAUGUAGUAGCCAUUCUUUUCAUCCUAACUCUAGUGCAAAUCAUGGUUGAUAAAACUGAGUGUUGCGUAUUACCGGAGAAAAAUGUAAAACUUUCUUAUUUUUACAAACUUGUUGUCCGGGAUAUAGGUGCAGCAAAGGUGCUGGUCACAAAUGUGUAGAAGACCCCAAGCAACAUUGCACGCCUGCGGGGGAUCUUGCUCCGGGCCAACCGCCUUCGUAUGCUGUGGAAGAAACUAUUGUGAUGAGAAAAGUAAUACAUGUCAACCUUAUGCAUGGUUAUCACAAGGCUCGUUUAUGUGGAGCUUUAUUUCAUUUGAGUUUGUUAGAUUGGCUAUUUUAAUGGUUGUUCAAGCUAAUAAUAAGAAAUAUUGACUAAAGAUAUAAAGUACUCUUUUAUCAUUGUAACACUAAUUUACAAAAUCAAUAUUAUAAU